CGACCGUUUUGGAGGAUAUAUUCGCUCGACCAGCUCAACCCCGCCAUACUUUUCCUCCUGCUUAUAAGGAGCUCCUUUCAUGAUAUCUCCCCCAUACCACCCCUUGAAGUUCAAGUAAUUUUCUUCGAGAGAAACAACAUCAUCUUCUCCCUCGCAUCCUUUUUACAAGCUUCAAUUUAUUCACUCUCUUUCAAGUUCAGGAACCGAGUUCUUUAGUUUUCAAACUUAUUCCCCCUGCUUUUAGCUGUACUUAGAUUUUCACUUAUGGCAUCCAAUUUCCGCCUUUCUUUACAUUGCUCUUGCUACUCCUGGACACCUAAGCAAAACAAAACGUUUGAAACGGCCCUGGCUAAAUAUGACCGGGACACCCCUGACCGCUGGCACAAUGUUGCCAAGGCUGUGGGUGGGAAGUCAGCUGAGGAAGUCAAGCUGCACUAUGAUAUCCUAGUCAAGGAUCUCAAAGACAUUGAGUCUGGCCAGUACCCGUAUCCAUAUCCAAGUGGAAGCAGCGGCUAAAGCAGUGAGAAUAAAACAGCGGUUUCCAAUGAGUCAAAGACUAAGGUGAAAAAUAAUAAGAUACCCAUACAACCAGAGACCUCAAUUGCAGAAAGACUAGAAAACUAGCAUUGUAUAAUAGUAAUCAUAAUAUAUAUUACCAAAAAGAAAAUCCCUA
Hibiscus syriacus is the source of this 673-nucleotide long non-coding RNA. RefSeq lists it as uncharacterized. The record is from RefSeq and is a predicted model, not a curated record. Lineage: Eukaryota; Viridiplantae; Streptophyta; Magnoliopsida; Malvales; Malvaceae. The transcript is spliced from 2 exons.